Molecule: long non-coding RNA, 1958 nt
Filed under: Homo sapiens (human)
Lineage: Eukaryota; Metazoa; Chordata; Mammalia; Primates; Hominidae
Description: HSALNT0028565
Source: RNAcentral
GGUUUGGUCAGGACUGGACUCAGCACUGGCACAGAGGCAGCACAGCUAUGUGGGAAGAACACAGGCUGGUCUGCAGGUGUCUAGAUUUGGAUCCUAGCUCUGUUACUUACUACUUUGUGACUUUGAGCAAAUUCACGUCUCUGAAAGACCAGGACCAGAGACCAUGCUGGGAAGCCUGGCUGCUCUUUGAGGACUGAGAUGAACUUAGCAAUGCAGAGAAGAACAAAGAGAGGCUUGUGCUCACCGUGUUCCAGAGGGAUCACCGUGUUCCCUUUGUUCAUUUGAGGACAUGAAUACAACUAUGGUCUUUGGACAAAAGGCAUAUGCCAGGCAGUAUGAAUGGUCUCUCUUGUCUGUGCAAUUAGUAUGUAAGAGCACGUGAACUGGUGCCUGGGACCUCUACCUGUUUUAGUAUGAUAGCACCACAGUAAAGGGCCUGGACUUUGUAUGAGCUUGGGAAAAUCAUGUCACCUCUGCAAGUCUUGGUUUCCCUGGGUGUUAAAUGUCAAUUUAAGUAAAAUGCUAUCUACUUUGUUUUGGAGACUUUCUAUGAGAAUCUGAUAAACUAUAACCUGUGAAAGAGUUUCAAAAGUUGUAAAAGAUUGAAGGGAAACUGAGAUUCAGUGAGACAAGGACAUUUGUUCAAAUAAAUCUCGUAACUCUGAAGAGGCCUGGAUCUGAGAAGAAUGGGUGCCAGGUAGUCUGACUGGGCUAGUUUUGCCCCAUCAUGGCCCUGUGACAUCCGUUCUGCCUCCCAGCUAGACUGGACUCCCCCAGACCAGGAACUGUGUCCUGGCUCUUCCUAGCACCCAGCUCAGGGAGGGCUAUCAAGGCUGCUGAAAGCAGCUCAGUGAAUGUCAGUCUCUGAGCAGAUGGGAAGAACUGAGGAUGAAUUUGUCCACUUAAAUGGGAAUGGAAGCUUAAGAAUCAAGAUAUUUGAAGAUAAGGGAAACUGAGGUACAGAGGAGGGGAAGAGCCAUGAUUGACUUCAUGCAACUCAUCAGGGAGGGCACCCAGAUUUACACGUGGAUCUGUGUCACUACAAAGCAGUGCCCUUGACUUAACACUCCAUCACUUUCCAUACAAGCUUCAAACUGAACUCCACCUUCAUUAGCUUGGUGAGCGCAGACCGCUGAACUCUUCUAACAUCUGUCUUAGAGGUUAUGUGUUGGCUGCUGCGUUCAGAGCUAUCCUAAAAGUAACUGAAACAAGGGAUUUUUGACUCCAUGGCUAAACAGUUUCUGGGGAGCAGACCUUGAUUCUACCAUUACUUAGAAAACAAAUCAAAUUAGAGUCAGACUAGUGAUGUUGUCAGAACUUUUCAAACAUAAAGACCCAUGAAUGGACAUGUACACUUGGGAUCAAAAGCACUCUCCUCUUCCAAACAGCAGUCUACACUUGGCCUUUUGAGAGGCUGAGCUAUUGCCAAGGACUAUUUAGAUGGAAGAUUUGAUUGUUGGUCAAGGAGACACUGAAGAAGAGAUAAGAUGGUGUACUGGAAUGGAAGGAAGGCUCUGGACAUCAGAACUUUGGGCCACUGUACUGCUGUGUAAAUUUGCGAAACCUACUUAAUCCUUAUGGACUGUUUCCUCAUCUGGAAAAUGAGUUAAAUGAGAUCCAUUUUAUAAAAUUGUUGUAAUGAUUAUAUAAGUAAACACAUAGUAAUAUUAUUUGAUUUUAUUAUUAUUAUUAUGACUUGUCACUCAAAGCAUUUAGCUUUGGUGUCUCUAAUAUUCAGUACUCACAUUUAUGUUCAAAUUUGGAUGCUAGGUAGAAAUGAAGACUUUGUAUCUGCCACCAGAGAAGGCUAUUUAUUAUUUGUCAUUGCCUGUCACGAACUCACAAAGAUAGUAUUUGCCUAUCCAAAGGUAUCUAAUUCCUCAGUUUCUUAUGUGACUAUAAAGGGGCCUACUUUGAUCUUACCAUGAACUCAAAUCCUUUCGAAAUUUCAAUUUGUC